This 911-nucleotide ribosomal RNA is filed under the name uncultured Bacteroidota bacterium. RNAcentral describes it as "bacterial SSU rRNA". It matches the Rfam family "Bacterial small subunit ribosomal RNA", at positions 13 to 916 of the family's 1533-position model. The record is from RNAcentral. Lineage: Bacteria; Pseudomonadati; Bacteroidota.
UUGAUCAUGGCUCAGGAUGAACGCUAGCUACAGGCUUAACACAUGCAAGUCGAGGGGCAGCAUAAACUUAGCUUGCUAAGUUUGAUGGCGACCGGCGCACGGGUGAGUAACGCGUAUCCAACCUUCCGUACACUCAGGGAUAGCCUUUCGAAAGAAAGAUUAAUACCUGAUGGUAUGAUGAGAUUGCAUGAUAGCAUCAUUAAAGAUUUAUCGGUGUACGAUGGGGAUGCGUUCCAUUAGGUAGUAGGCGGGGUAACGGCCCACCUAGCCAACGAUGGAUAGGGGUUCUGAGAGGAAGGUCCCCCACAUUGGAACUGAGACACGGUCCAAACUCCUACGGGAGGCAGCAGUGAGGAAUAUUGGUCAAUGGACGAGAGUCUGAACCAGCCAAGUAGCGUGAAGGAUGAAGGUCCUACGGAUUGUAAACUUCUUUUAUAAGGGAAUAAACCCUCCCACGUGUGGGAGCUUGUAUGUACCUUAUGAAUAAGCAUCGGCUAACUCCGUGCCAGCAGCCGCGGUAAUACGGAGGAUGCGAGCGUUAUCCGGAUUUAUUGGGUUUAAAGGGAGCGCAGACGGGUCGUUAAGUCAGCUGUGAAAGUUUGGGGCUCAACCUUAAAAUUGCAGUUGAUACUGGCGUCCUUGAGUGCGGUUGAGGUGUGCGGAAUUCGUGGUGUAGCGGUGAAAUGCUUAGAUAUCACGAAGAACUCCGAUUGCGAAGGCAGCACACUAAUCCGUAACUGACGUUCAUGCUCGAAAGUGUGGGUAUCAAACAGAAUUAGAUACCCUGGUAGUCCACACGGUAAACGAUGGAUACUCGCUGUUGGCGAUAUACUGUCAGCGGCUUAGCGAAAGCGUUAAGUAUCCCACCUGGGGAGUACGCCGGCAACGGUGCAACUCAAAUGAAUUGACGG